ACGGGGUGCAGCAGGCGCGAAAAUUUCGCAAUGGGCGUAAGCCUGACGAAGGGAUUUAGAGUGCUUUCUCCACAUGGNAGGGAGCUUUUGCCAAGUCUAAAUAGCUUGGUGAAUAAGUGGUGGGUAAUACGGGUGCCAGCCGCCGCGGUAAUACCCGAGCCACGAGUGGUGACCACGAUUAUUGGGCUUAAAGCGUUCGUAGCCUGUCUGGAAAGUUUCUGAUGAAAUCCUGCAGUCAACUGCAGGGCUUGUCAGGGAUACUACUAGACUUGAGACCGGGAGAGGCUGAGGGUAUUCCUGGGGUAGGUGUAAAAUCCUGUAAUCCCAGGAGGACCACCUGUGGCGAAGGCGCUCAGCUAGAACGGAUCUGACGGUGAGGGACGAAAGCUAGGGGAGCGAAGCGGAUUAGAUACCCGCGUAGUCCUAGCCGUAAACGAUGCCCACUAGACAUUGGCAACCUCAAGUGGGUUGCCAGAGUCGUAGGGAAACCGUUAAGUGGGCCGCCUGGGGAGUACGGUCGCAAGGCUGAAACUUAAGGGAAUUGGCGGGGGAGCACACA
Molecule: ribosomal RNA, 559 nt
Filed under: uncultured archaeon
Lineage: Archaea
Description: bacterial SSU rRNA
Rfam family: Archaeal small subunit ribosomal RNA
Source: RNAcentral